Molecule: transfer RNA, 71 nt
Filed under: Rasbora kalbarensis (Kalbar rasbora)
Lineage: Eukaryota; Metazoa; Chordata; Actinopteri; Cypriniformes; Danionidae
Description: tRNA-Ile
Rfam family: tRNA
About the family: Transfer RNA (tRNA) molecules are approximately 80 nucleotides in length.
Source: RNAcentral
AGAACUGUGCCCGAAUGAUUAGGGGUCACUUUGAUGGAGUGAACAUAGGGGUUAAAUCCCCCUCAGCUCUU